RNAcentral lists this ribosomal RNA (492 nucleotides) under uncultured bacterium. Its description in RNAcentral is "partial 16S ribosomal RNA". It matches the Rfam family "Bacterial small subunit ribosomal RNA", at positions 29 to 507 of the family's 1533-position model. The record is from RNAcentral.
AGUGAACGCUGGCGGUAGGCCUAACACAUGCAAGUCGAACGGCAGCACAGUAAGAGCUUGCUCUUACGGGUGGCGAGUGGCGGACGGGUGAGGAAUACAUCGGAAUCUACUUUUUCGUGGGGGAUAACGUAGGGAAACUUACGCUAAUACCGCAUACGACCUACGGGGGAAAGCAGGGGAUCUUCGGACCUUGCGCGAUUGAAUGAGCCGAUGUCGGAUUAGCUAGUUGGCGGGGUAAAGGCCCACCAAGGCGACGAUCCGUAGCUGGUCUGAGAGGAUGAUCAGCCACACUGGAACUGAGACACGGUCCAGACUCCUACGGGAGGCAGCAGUGGGGAAUAUUGGACAAUGGGCGCAAGCCUGAUCCAGCCAUACCGCGUGGGUGAAGAAGGCCUUCGAGUUGUAAAGCCCUUUUGUUGGGAAAGAAAAGCAGCAGGUUAAUACCCCGCUGUUCUGACGGUACCCAAAGAAUAAGCACCGGCUAACUUCGUG